AGCGAACGCUGGCGGCAGGCCUAACACAUGCAAGUCGAGCGGGCACUUCGGUGUCAGCGGCAGACGGGUGAGUAACACGUGGGAACGUACCCUUUGGUUCGGAAUAACGCUGGGAAACUAGCGCUAAUACCGGAUACGCCCUUUUGGGGAAAGGCUUGCUGCCGAAGGAUCGGCCCGCGUCUGAUUAGCUAGUUGGUGGGGUAAUGGCCUACCAAGGCGACGAUCAGUAGCUGGUCUGAGAGGAUGAUCAGCCACACUGGGACUGAGACACGGCCCAGACUCCUACGGGAGGCAGCAGUGGGGAAUAUUGGACAAUGGGCGCAAGCCUGAUCCAGCCAUGCCGCGUGAGUGAUGAAGGCCUUAGGGUUGUAAAGCUCUUUUGUCCGGGACGAUAAUGACGGUACCGGAAGAAUAAGCCCCGGCUAACUUCGUG
This 433-nucleotide ribosomal RNA is filed under the name uncultured bacterium. RNAcentral describes it as "partial 16S ribosomal RNA". It matches the Rfam family "Bacterial small subunit ribosomal RNA", at positions 29 to 507 of the family's 1533-position model. The record is from RNAcentral.